This 237-nucleotide ribosomal RNA is filed under the name uncultured bacterium. Its description in RNAcentral is "partial 16S ribosomal RNA". It matches the Rfam family "Bacterial small subunit ribosomal RNA", at positions 1265 to 1500 of the family's 1533-position model. The record is from RNAcentral.
GAGCAAAUCCCAGAAAUAACGUCCCAGUUCGGAUUGUAGUCUGCAACCCGACUACAUGAAGCUGGAAUCGCUAGUAAUCGCGGAUCAGAAUGUCGCGGUGAAUACGUUCCCGGGUCUUGUACACACCGCCCGUCACACCAUGGGAGUCGGAAAUGCCCGAAGUCAGUGACCUAACCGAAAGGGAGGAGCCUGCCGAAGGUGGAGCCGGUAACUGGGGUGAAGUCGUAACAAGGUAUC